RNAcentral lists this unclassified non-coding RNA (356 nucleotides) under soil metagenome. RNAcentral's name for it is "partial contains 5.8S ribosomal RNA, internal transcribed spacer 2, and large subunit ribosomal RNA". The stretch from base 1 to 120 matches the Rfam family "5.8S ribosomal RNA", at positions 35 to 154 of the family's 154-position model. The record is from RNAcentral.
GAUGAAGAACGCAGUGAAAUGCGAUAAGUAAUGUGAAUUGCAGAAUUCAGUGAAUCAUCGAAUCUUUGAACGCACAUUGCGCCCGUCAGUAUUCUGGCGGGCAUGCCUGUUCGAGCGUCAUUACGCCCCUCAAGUCCCCUGUGGACUUGGUGUUGGGGAUCGGCGAGGCUGGUUUUCCAGCACAGCCGUCCCUUAAAUUAAUUGGCGGUCUCGCCGUGGCCCUCCUCUGCGCAGUAGUAAAACACUCGCAACAGGAGCCCGGCGCGGUCCACUGCCGUAAAACCCCCCAACUUUUUAUAGUUGACCUCGAAUCAGGUAGGACUACCCGCUGAACUUAAGCAUAUCAAAAGCGGAGG